GGGCACGGUGCAGCGCCGCCUCCCGUUCGCCUCUGCGCCUGGCCCGGCGACUGCGGGCGCUGCGGUCCACUGGGUCCGCCUCUUCCCGGCAUGGGUUUCUGCCCAGCUCACCCGCUGUCAGCUGGGGUCCUGCUCUGGUGGGAGGAAGAGGCUCAGACGCUUCCCUGCCCUCUCGCCUCAACCACCUCGAGGCAGCGGCUCCCAGGAUGUGCACUUUGACGACUAAAGCUGAGCCGGCGCCGCCACGACCUUGGGCGGGUGGUCGGCCUCUGCCCUGAGCAGGAAGUAGAAAGUCUCAGCAGACCCUUCCUGAGGGCCGAGCAACAGUGUAGUGGCGUAUUCCACAUAGCAAACAGGUCCCCAGACAGUCCCGGUGUGCACACUUCCCUGCUUCUGUUCAUGAUGUUCUCUGAACCUGGGAUCACCUUUCCCCUUCCUCUUACCUGCCCGAUCCUACUUGUCCUCCCAGAUUCAGUUUUCUGAAGCUCAGAGGGACACCUUGUAUUGCUGGAUGAUAAAAACAGGAGCAAAGUGAUGAAGUGCUGACAAGGCAACAAUAGAACAUGAGAGAUUCACUGCUGUGUAGGAAGAGAUCUUCGGUGACCAUGUAGCCUGAAGCUCUCAUUUUGUCAUCGAGGGACACCAAAACUCAGAACAGAUAGAGUCUUGCUCUGUGACCCAGGCUUGUGUGCAGCGGUACGAUAUUGGCUCACUGCGACCUCCACCUCCCAGGUUCAAGCAAUUCUCCUGCCUCAGCCUCCCAAGUAGCUGGGAUUACAGAUGAGGUCUCCAAGGGACCAGAUGGAGAACAGAUGCAACCACACUGAAGUCAGAAUCGCAGCUUGCCUCCGACACCUGACGCUUCACUGUUGGCGAGGCCCACUAUGCCUCGCUCUCCCCCUGUAAUGAGUUCUAUCCCAGAGGCUCCUAUACCCUUUAGAAAUAAACUGCUCAGGCAGCCCAACCAGUUCAUCCAAGAGGCCUGGAACCACAGCAGCGUCGACAGCUGAGAUGAGAGUUGGUCCCUGAUCUGAUACAGAGCCUGGGUUUAGCUUUGAUUUCUCUCUUCCUAGGCAAGAUCUUUAGAGAAUAACUUUUUGUGCCUGGCCAUCUCCUGCUCUUUUCUCAACCCAAAAGGGCUAUGUUCACCUAAAGAGGAAAAGCAAGAAGGCUUCCUGGGCUCGGGAGGUCAGGGCUGGAAAGAACUGCUCACCAUUUCUGAGCCGAUGAGGACUCACCUGGGCUCCUCACUGGUCAGGGAACUGUGGCCCAGCCGCAGAGUGAUUGCUUUGUCAAGAAGGGAAACAUUUACCUUUCCUUCUUCCCUCUGCUCUCUCCUAAUUAACAAUUAAAUGGAAGGAGUUGAAAAGACAUGUCAGAGACUUCAAUCUCCUCCCGGCCUGAGGAUGAAGGGGGCUCGAACCUGAAUGUUCUCUUCGCUGUGGCCAGAACCUAGGGGGCUGGGGUUGCUGCCAGCUCGACUGGAGGCCUGCUUCCAGCCCCAGGCUGUGGUGAGGGGCCUCACAGAUUUCACAAACAGGAGGGCGGCUGACCAAGCGCCAAACUAUUUAGACAAACACACACCCUCCCUUCCCGCCAGAGUUUGGGCUGAUUUCUCCCAAUGCUAAUGAACAGCUCAUAAGUAUUAAUAGACUCCUUGGCACCUAGGAGUCAGGCAGAGUAACUUCCAGUGUGAAUUUUGGCCAAGGACCCUGAUGCAGCCUCAGGAUCUUCCAAGCCCCUGUUGAGUCCAGGGGGCAUGAGACACACAGGGAGGCUGGGGCUGCUCCCAGGAAGCAGGCUCACAAGAGCCAGACAGGCUCCCACAGACAGCUUUUAGGUCACAGAAACCUCUGCCUGCCAGGUAGGCAUGAACACAGAAACCCUCCCAAAUCCUCAGACUGUGGAGCACACUCCAGGUGAGCCAGGAUCAAUCCCUGGUCUCAGAGAACACUUAGAUGGGGGUGAAAAGCAGGAACUGAGAGCUUCCCACCCAGCACCUGUCCCUGCUACCAGCUAAACCUGUGUCGGUCAGUGCAGGAAUUGUACAGGUGAUGCUCUGAGCCUGUGCUGAGGCCAUGUAUGGACUGAGGAAACCUCACUGUGUGUAUGUAAAGUUAAUUCAAACCUAUUUCCCUGAGUGCUUACAUAUUUUCAUAAGGAAAGUUCUGUUAGGAGAGCUGCCUGAAACAACACCUCUGCCUGUGCUCCCACUUUCUCCCGCUGGUGUGGGGAGGAGAGGCUGACAUCGCUGGGUCCACGUUCCUCUGCCCUGGGUGGGGUAUUAAUGCUGCCAUUCCCACGCUGCCUGCUGUUUCCCCUCAUCCUCAGGAGGGCUGGUCUCUGUGCUGCAGGCAGCUCCACCAGGCCUGGGAGCAUGACACCGUCUGCCAAUGCCUUGCCCAGGUCCACUGGCCUCACCCUUCCGCAGGCCUGCGCCUUCUGUGACUCUCUGCCUCAGCAAUUUCUCUGGAUUUCUUUGUCCUCAGGAAUGUGCUGGGGCCACAGGCAGGUCAGGCCAGGCUUUCUGGGGAGUGAAUGCUCUCUGCCAGUGGCGGAUGGAACUGGUAGACACGUCCCCCGGAUUCCUCGCCUGCAAGUGGGAUGGUGCCAGGAAAGUUCUACACCAUCCUUCCCAGGUCCCAGGAGGACAAGCACAGUUGUCCACAAGGGCACCGCAAGACAACGUAUCUCCCCUCUCCUGUGCAAUCAGUCAAAGAACAUUUAGUCAACCUGAACUGGGAGCACAGCGCUCCUGGGGCUGUUGGGCAUUCAAAAGAGGUAAGAUGUUGUGAAUCUACCAGGCAUCUGCACCCUUGUUGGGGAACCAAUCCAUAUACAGCAGCAACUGUUAAGUGGUGGCACCUGCUGGCUGUAGCACUUAAUAGGUAGGUGUGCAUGGAGUCAGACUGCCAGGUACACAGACCAGCUCUACCACUCACAGUAGUUGUGAUCUUGGGCAAAACACAAAACCUCCCUGAGCCUCUCAGUUUCUCACCCACUAGUACCACCUCACUAAGCAUGUUAGGAGGAGUCAAUGUGAUAGCCUAUGCAAAGUGCCUGGAAUAGUGCCUGGCACACAAGAGGUAUUCAAUACCUGCCAGCUGUUGUUGUUUUUCUGCAAAUGAAGUGUAAACCCCUUGAGGACAGAGAUGAGUGUCCAUAGCUGUUAUCUGCCACAGAGCCUUCCUUCCACAUAACAUAUGCUCGAGGGUUUGCUGACCUACUUUGAAGAAAGGGGCAACACGAGGGGAAUAUAGUUUUAUUGUGUAGGGUAAUUUCCUC
RNAcentral lists this long non-coding RNA (3285 nucleotides) under Homo sapiens (human). RNAcentral's name for it is "PREDICTED lncRNA (TCONS_00018223)". Lineage: Eukaryota; Metazoa; Chordata; Mammalia; Primates; Hominidae. The record is from RNAcentral.